This 440-nucleotide ribosomal RNA is filed under the name uncultured bacterium. RNAcentral's name for it is "partial 16S ribosomal RNA". It matches the Rfam family "Bacterial small subunit ribosomal RNA", at positions 338 to 795 of the family's 1533-position model. The record is from RNAcentral.
CCUACGGGAGACAGCAGUGGGGAAUAUUGCACAAUGGGGGAAACCCUGAUGCAGCGACGCCGCGUGAGUGAAGAAGUAUUUCGGUAUGUAAAGCUCUAUCGGCAGGGAAGAAAAUGACGGUACCUGAUUAAGAAGCCCCGGCUAACUACGUGCCAGCAGCCGCGGUACUACGUCGGGGGCAAGCGUUAUACGGAUUUACUGGGUGUAAAGGGAGCGUAGACGGCAGCGCAAGUCUGAAGUGAAAUGCCGGGGCUUAACCCCGGACCUGCUUUGGAAACUGUGCAGCUAGAGUGCAGGAGAGGUAAGUGGAAUUCCUAGUGUAGCGGUGAAAUGCGUAGAUAUUAGGAGGAACACCAGUGGCGAAGGCGGCUUACUGGACUGUAACUGACGUUGAGGCUCGAAAGCGUGGGGAGCAAACAGGAUUAGAUACCCCAGUAGUC